GAUGAACGCUAGCGGCAGGCCUAAUACAUGCAAGUCGAACGGGUGUAGCAAUACACUAGUGGCGCACGGGUGCGUAACGCGUAACCAACCUGCCCUUGACUGGGGGAUAGCCCGCCGAAAGGCGGAUUAAUACCGCAUACCUCCCGUACCUGGCAUCAGGCGCGGGGGAAAGAUUUAUUGGUCAAGGAUGGGGUUGCGUAGCAUUAGCUGGAUGGCGGGGUAACGGCCCACCAUGGCGACGAUGCUUAGGGGACCUGAGAGGGUGAUCCCCCACACUGGCACUGAGAUACGGGCCAGACUCCUACGGGAGGCAGCAGUAGGGAAUAUUGGGCAAUGGGCGAGAGCCUGACCCAGCCAUGCCGCGUGCCGGAUGAAGGCCUUCUGGGUUGUAAACGGCUUUUCUCAGGGAAGAAAACGACCAUGCGUGGUACACUGACGGUACCUGAAGAAUAAGCACCGGCUAACUACGUGCCAGCAGCCGCGGUAAUACGUAGGGUGCAAGCGUUAAUCGGAAUUACUGGGCGUAAAGCGUGCGCAGGCGGUUGUGCAAGACAGAUGUGAAAUCCCCGGGCUUAACCUGGGAAUUGCAUUUGUGACUGCACGGCUAGAGUGUGUCAGAGGGGGGUAGAAUUCCACGUGUAGCAGUGAAAUGCGUAGAUAUGUGGAGGAAUACCGAUGGCGAANGCAGCCCCCUGGGAUAACACUGACGCUCAUGCACGAAAGCGUGGGGAGCAAACAGGAUUAGAUACCCUGGUAGUCCACGCCCUAAACGAUGUCUACUAGUUGUCGGGUCUUAAUUGACUUGGUAACGCAGCUAACGCGUGAAGUAGACCGCCUGGGGAGUACGGUCGCAAGAUUAAAACUCAAAGGAAUUGACGGGGACCCGCACAAGCGGUGGAUGAUGUGGAUUAAUUCGAUGCAACGCGAAAAACCUUACCUACCCUUGACAUGGCAGGAAUCCUUGAGAGAUCAGGGAGUGCUCGAAAGAGAACCUGCACACAGGUGCUGCAUGGCUGUCGUCAGCUCGUGUCGUGAGAUGUUGGGUUAAGUCCCGCAACGAGCGCAACCCUUGUCAUUAGUUGCUACGAAAGGGCACUCUAAUGAGACUGCCGGUGACAAACCGGAGGAAGGUGGGGAUGACGUCAAGUCCUCAUGGCCCUUAUGGGUAGGGCUUCACACGUCAUACAAUGGUACAUACAGAGGGCCGCCAACCCGCGAGGGGGAGCUAAUCCCAGAAAGUGUAUCGUAGUCCGGAUUGGAGUCUGCAACUCGACUCCAUGAAGUUGGAAUCGCUAGUAAUCGCGGAUCAGCAUGUCGCGGUGAAUACGUUCCCGGGUCUUGUACACACCGCCCGUCACACCAUGGGAGCGGGUUUUACCAGAAGUAGGUAGCUUAACCGUAAGGAGGGCGCUUACCACGGUAGGAUUCGUGACUGGGGUG
This 1440-nucleotide ribosomal RNA is filed under the name uncultured bacterium. RNAcentral describes it as "bacterial SSU rRNA". It matches the Rfam family "Bacterial small subunit ribosomal RNA". The record is from RNAcentral.